AUACCAAAACCAACAGCCACCAAACCAAAGCAGCUGUUUCCUCUCAACACCACGGAGCAGCGUCUACUACUUCUACACCCUCCAGAUGUCUUAGCUUUCAACCAUCUUCAAGGGGUGAGCCUGGCUACCCUACAAAGAAAACAAACUUUGGUUGCUUCCAGCCUAUAUUUUGCACACAACCCAAAGCUGAUCAACACAUUGGAGAAGGUUCGAACUUGAUGAAAACUCUUCCUGCCGGGUCAGCUAUUUACCACAACAGUCCGUUUCAAUACCAGUACAAUGCCUGGAUUACUGCUGUCUGUCAAUCUCACCUUCUCUUUUCCCCUCGCUCAUGAACUCAUUCCCAAUCCUACUAAUCCACCAUUUUCCGUCAAAGAACCAUGUCCUCAGACUUUGAGGUCCUCAGUGCAUGCUCACGGUAAAGGUCUGAUAAGGUAAACACUACCACAUCAUCUGCAAAGAGCAGAGUUCCAAUCCUGAGGAUCUGGACACUGCACCAGAUAAUAUUUGUGGACUUGAAAUACUAUCCAGGAAAAUCACAAACAUAAUCUGUGACAAGGGACAACACCAGUAGAGCCCAUCACCUCUUGAUCGAGAGAGAGAGUAGUAACUAAUUUCAGCCCAAACAUGACCGGCAUUCUGCUUUUAAUGUCCAAACCUGACUCAAGCUUGUUCCAAGUAACAAAUAGCCUCAACAAGGCAUGUGGCUCCAACACACACUAUGUCUAUUAAAAUAUACACUGUAUUUUCACUAAAAGAACUUGAAAGCACCACGCUGAUUGAUGUGACUAAAUUGGAUGCGAACCCAGACAUCAGCUCCAAAUGUUUGGCCUGUCAGGUUCCAACAAGUUCAGGCCAGGUCUCCAAACUCUAACAUGAUCAAUGAAAUCCUCGAGAUGAACUGCAAAGACCCUGGCAUUAUCCUUUCUUGGACCACACCCAGAGACUCUGAGAAGGCCAGAUAUUCUGAACCAUUCUUUGGAGCGUGGGCACAGAUGACAGCUGGAGCCCUCCCCUCAGCAACCUAUAGUCUUUGAGUCUCUGGCUGAUACCAGGGAUUAUGGAAAUGACAUUUACCUUUCCACAGCCUGUCAUCUUAUCAGCCUUUCUGUUGACCUCAGUAUCUGGAGUAAUUGUUAAUAUGCAUGCCGGUGCAUAUAUUUACAGUGAGACUGAGUGUGCAUGUGUGUGUGUAAGUGCCUGUACCUGUGUUUACUCAUUCAAAUGUAUGUAUUUGUUCACGGUGCAAGCUUGUGUGUUCACUCGUGUGUGUCAGAGAUAGUUCCUUGCUGUGUUUCGCUGUAGAAGUCUGGUAUAGUUUGUAUUCUCUAGCUACACUUCUCCGAUGCAGCCAAUGGAAAUGAAAAGGUAAGCGGAGGUGGAUCUGGGACAAGGGCAUCUGUCAAGGGUGUGAAUAAUGCAGUGGUAGUCUGCAAAAUAACCACAACAAUAUAUCAUCAUAAAGCAAAUAAAUACGGCACUAUAUCCACUCUGUCUUCUUAGAGUCCUGUUUGGGAUCCAAAGUUGGGUUAUAGUUCUGUUACUGUAGGUCCAUUUGUUCUGGUGAAAUUGAUUUCAAAGUUUAUUACUGGUUUGGCCCUCAGAGAGAGCAGCAAACUGAAUGAACAGGGAAACAACCAGGUUACUAAAGCAUUAACAAAUAUGGAGAUAUAUCUACAUUUAGAAUUCAGAUCCAUCAUCUGUCUAUCCAUCUAUCUAGACCAGGUGAAAACUGCAGCAAGACAGUAUUGGAACAACAUAAGUGUUACAGUGGACACAUGUUUUGACCAGAGGCCUGCACCACACUCAUCAAACAACAGGCACAUGAAUAAUGGACUUUCAAGCAUCAUCGAGUGACCUCAGUGAUGUCUGCAGGCUGGAACUUGUCAGUUUAAGCAAGAAUAUUUUCUCAAGAUUGCAAAGACUGCUGGAGUUUUCACCUUGGAGACGUGAAAGCAGCUCUUAAGAGGCUCAAGUUGAACAUUUAGAAAUGAAUUAAACACUUUGUUCCUCUUGACACUCUUUUACUGCCUUGUGUGUGUGAGGCUUUGAUUCCUUAAAACAAGAAGGUGUGUAAUGUUGAAGGGUUUUUGGGAGUUUUUUCCUCAAUCCAAUCAAGGGUCUGAGGACAAAGGGAUUACAUUCAUUGAACACACUUUAAAGCCCACUGAGCUGAUGUGAUUUGUGAUUUUGAGCUAUAUAAAUAAAACUGUCUUGACUUCUUGACCUUUCUUCAGCUGUCCACUGACUCCUGGUCAGUGACCUUUGACCACCUCCCAGUGGAUCCAGUUUUUGUGUAGGUCUGAUGUCACUGAGACUCAAGACAGGAUUUCAACAUUCAGACCUGCUGGAUAGUUUCAGUGAGACACUGGGACAUUUCCAGCCAUGUUGGUGGUGAAAAAUAUGAUCUUUUCCCAACCCUAACCAACUGCUUAUUGUAUAUAAAAACAGAUUGUAUGUGAGAGAAUAGAACUUGACCUUGUGUUUUACAAAAGUACAGUGCAUGUGCUUCAUGCCUGUGGACACAGACAUAUAUAAAAAGAGGCCUUGUAAUCUCAGUGACAGCUUUUACAGUUGUGCAUUUUGUUGCCAUGCCAUUAUUUCAUUCUUUAGAACCUAGUGUACAAUAAACAGAAUGCAAAAAAGUUAUUAAGCUGAGUACUUCAGCUUCCAUGUUAUAAUAAACCAUAGUUUCACUCAUUUUUUUUUACCCUCACACUUACAAGCGUGUGACACUUAUAAAGUAAGGCAUUCAUAUGAAACAUGAAACUCGAUAAAGCUAAAAAGCUGCUUUAUAGAUUAUACAAAAGGCUGACCUUGGUGAAGGUGAUAUGCUGAGAUCAUGCAAUGAAGAAAAAUACUUUCAGUGCAUGAGCAGAAAUUGCAGUAGGAGCACUGGUAGAUGGAAUGGGUUUCAAGUAUGUCACCGAAGAAUACAGGGAGCAGGACAGUAAAAGGCCAUCCAUUCUUUGUCUCAACCUCGGCUCUAUAAAGCUCUAGAGUUUCACUGAGAGGGUGGAAAAGUUAGGAGACAGAGAGAUUGACGAGAGGGAGGCGACACACUCGACUUUCCCUGAGGCCUAAAGAGACGAAGGCAUUACAGGAGAGUGUUUAAGUGACUGUCACAAACUGGGAUUGGACACACAACAUUGAGGCUGAAUUAGACUAAUUGCUAUCCUGAGGUGGCCCUCUACACUUUUGAUUUGCUACCAAUGUCGUCUGGCGUGGAGAAUAGAAUUCCCCGCAGCCUAAUGUUCAUUAACAGUUGACCAACAACAAAUUAAUAUUUACCCAGAGGCUAAUUUCCUCAUUAGUCCUCAAAUUCAAAGUACAUUUUUCUCCACAGUCAGUUUUAAAGUUUGCCAAAGUGUUGCAAGAACUAAUGACCUCUACCAAAAGCACAAUGAUUACCACCUUGAACUUUCUGUGGCCGCUGUUAAAACCUAAAUUACAGGUGGUAACUUAUAUCAUGUCAUUAUGCCCUUAUUGUAUAGCAACGUCCUUGACCGUAAACAGCCUAUAGGCAAGCUUUAUCUGGUAUUCAAGUAAUAUUUCACUGACUGAAGAUCCCACUUCAGCCCUAAGGUGUAUUCCCUGGAAGGACAAUGAGGUUUUAUUUAGCAUAUUUCAACCAUAUGUGCAGGGAGUGGCCUGGGAUGCGGUGCUAUGUGCAGCCACAUGAGACACAUUUAUGGCCAAGCGAGAAGAGGCUGCGUGAUGGAUAAAGAUAUCGCAACGCUCCGGGGGUGUAGAUAUCAAUUGCGGCCCAGAUCUGAGAGACAGCACCGCAGAAGAAGAUGAGGGAGCGCGGGGGCAUUUUCCAUCUCAUUCCCUCUCUGCCAACUGAUUACAGGGCACGGUGGUGGUAUCAAUCUUUGACAAGUCAUUCUCAUUGGAUGCUCAUGGAGUUAUAGCUUUUCUAGGGGUUCAUUUUAAAAUGAAAAUGACUGUGAGAUUGACAUGAGGGGUGAGAUGAGGAGAGCACAGGCGAAGUCUGCAGGUGAAGAGCAGGAGAAAAAGGACACAACAGGGUCAAGGCACCACUGGUGGAUGGACCACAGACAGCAAUCAUGCAUACAAUGAGUGAGAGACAAAUACAGAUUGAGUCCAACAUGCUAUAAUUGAGCUCUUCUUCAUUAGGUAUACAGGAUGUGAACAAACAACAACAAGAGUGGCUGUGUUUGCACAGGCCAGGAGCACUGUAAAUGACUCUUUGCUAAUAGGCUGACAGAUGGCAUCAUUUGCAUUCAUUAGUAUACAGAAUCUAAGACACCAGCACCUAUAGCAGAGGUCACUGAUGGCCUUUGCUUCUGCUGAGACAGACUGAAGCGUAGAGGUCGUCUGUCUGACGGACUGGAGUGCCCAUUAAAUGCUAAAUGGAUAAUUGCUUGUUAAAUGGGGAAGCCCUGCCAUUAUAGUCUGACUCACUGGAUGUAGGUUGUUGGUACCAGCCUGCCGAUGGCCGACUGUUUCAGUCAGCAUUGUCUUCUUCACCAUCUCAGCUAGAUUGUGGAUAUCUGACCCGAACCCAUUGGGACCCAAUGACACAUAUAAACGUUGUUGGACUCCAAUCAGGUUUGGACGUAAAAAGAAAUGAACACCUGUCAAGUUCGGCUUGGGCUCCUUAACUACCCUCUCAGGCUUGGUCCGGUUCAGACAGAAGCUGUGGCCCGAGCAGCACUCAAAACAACAACAACAAUCUCAGAGCUGGUAACCUGAACCCUGAAGAUGGAAAGUAACCCUUCUAGGUUUCAUCUGACUUAUUAAAAAGAGAUGCCGAAAUAAAUUGAGAAACACUGUCAGUUUGAACACCAUGUCUUUGUUAUAUGCUAAAUAUGUGUCAAAAACUCAUGUUAGCAUUUGGUGUUUUUUAUAUCAGAGUCUCUGUUUUUUCUCCCUCAGUAAAGUAUUUAAAAUGUUUGGAUGAUUGAUCUUUGCACCGGAAUGUAUCCGGGCUAACCCCACCCAUCAUUUAAAGCCACAUGUGGUCGUGGGUAGCUGCAGCUAGCGGUAGUGAUAUCUCAGUGGGAGGUGUGCUUUUUGGAUAUCAGUGAGAAAAAGAAACUUGUUUACACGUCCAAAGAACUUCCAGUCCUGUAUCUCAUUACUGCUCUGCAUCACUCAACAGCUGCUUUUAAAAAAAAUAUCUGCUUGUGUGAUUAAAGUCUAAAAGCAUUUAUUGCUGUAAUUCGUGCCUCUGACUGGCUGAGGCUGUUUUUCAUGAUGACCAAAUAAACAGCAUGUUCUGGUCCAUUUCUCAAAAGGCCAGAACUGAGACUCCA
This is a long non-coding RNA of Acanthopagrus latus (yellowfin seabream), 5282 nucleotides long. RefSeq lists it as uncharacterized. The transcript is spliced from 2 exons. NCBI's taxonomy places the organism in Eukaryota, Metazoa, Chordata, Actinopteri, Spariformes, Sparidae. The record is from RefSeq and is a predicted model, not a curated record.